CAAGAGUAAUGCAGUUUAGAAUGAAAACACUGAUUUAAACUGUAGCCUUCUCAACAAGCUGAAAUACCCAGGGUUCAAUUUAUGAUAAUUAAUUAUUCCUCUACUGCAGAAGACCUGGCAGACCCAGCACAGCCCCAACACUUUUGAAUGUUUGUUCACUCACAUGUGGCUCCUUUCCCAAUCAGUGUGAGCACCCGAGGUAGGUAUUCAGUGAGUGGGCUGAUGGGCUGUGAGCGGAGGCCACUGCCACUAGACCUCCCUAUUUAUAGUGAGAAAUAGAUAAAAGAAAUGCCACUGGCUUGGCUACUCAGACAGACAUGGAGAGGAACAAGAAAUCUAGCAAGCUAGUGGUCCCCUCAGUGGAGGAUAAGCAGGUUAGGAAGAAGCGACUAUCCUUGAAACAAGGAACUGAACCUGAUAUGCUGCUUCCCCAAAUUAUUCCUUUAGUAGCAGGACUGACAACCCCACCUCUCUCCAGCCCCAACCAAGGGAAAAGGUUUGUUGUCACUGCAUUCCAAGGAGCAUAAAAGAACCACAGAGAAUACCCACCUAUUGGGCAAGUGACCCAGCCUAUUGCAUCUUGGAGACCAGAUCUACAGUGAAAAGAACAAGCCUUCUCCAAAUCUGUUCUUGUUGGUGGAGGGGAUGGAGAUCAGAGAGCCUAUUUUAGGAAUACUUAUCCUACUGUCAGGGAAGGAGGACAACAGAGGCUCUACCUGCAGAGAUAGCCUGAGUAUAGAACUGAUCUGUGGUUUGCAUGGCUGGGGCCUUGUGGUGCAAUUUGGUGAGACCACUGGGUUUUUCUUGAGACAGGACAGUUGGACCAUGUGGUUUGCUUGAGUUGGAAGAACAAUGGGAUAGGACUAGGCCAUUUAAAUAAGGGCUACAUAGCGCGUUUGGCCCAAGCUGUAUGUGCCUUUAUAUUGUGAACUCUUUGGGGCAAAGACUCAACUAUAUAUAGUAAGUAAACUAUGCCAUAUAAAUAUGUACAUGCACUUACAGAAUAAACAAUGAAUAGUGAUAUGCCAGAAUCUGCCACACUUACUCAGGUUGGGCAAUACAUAUUCACACCAUUGGUGUGAAUGGGACACCUCACAUGAGAAAGCACUACUUCUGUAUGAUUGAAGACCAUUUGUAUCAUUGUUGCUAUCACUGAUCUACAGUUGCAACUAAUCUUAUACAAAGUAUGUCAUUGCUAAGGUAUCAGUGGCAAAGUUGUACUCUGCCAGGUAAAACAAUCCUGUUUAUAUGCAUGUAUCAUCUUUGUAUCUGAAGUUAUGAAUAUUUGCUAUGUAUUUGUAUCUCAAACAUGUGUGGUGUUCUUGGGUGACAACCUCAAGAUAGUUUUACAUCCUGUCUAGCCAGCCCAGUCGGGAUGAACUGGACUAUUGAAGCUUGAUGGGCCAUUAAGACAAAUCGAGUCUCCAGAUAUCUCUUCCUGCAGAUGCUUCAAACAGCAAGGAGCCACCCUUGUGAUUCAGCAAAACAUGUAAGGGCAUAUGAUAUGGACAUGUGACCUUGGACUCCAUCUUUGUCAGUAACUUUCCAUACACAGGGACUGAGGGCUUUGUUUGGGACAGUAAAUUUCCAUGCUAAUGGCAGAAGAAAUAAGACACCUGAGACAUCUCCAUCUUGCCUCAUUCCUGCUCCAAUUCUCUGGACUGUGGAUUUACAACUAAAAAGAGUAUUUUGAACUAUGGACUGAGAACUCUCCAAUCUUUUGGAAGUUACCAGAGAGACUUUUGCAAGCCAGCAGUCUAUUCCAUCACGGCUAUGAUCCUGACCUAUGAACACUGAAAAUCACUUUUGGAUACCUUCAAACCUAUGGACAAGAUUAUGUUAGUGUACUUCAUCCUGCUGAGGGGUCCUACUGUGACCAUUAUCCAUGGAGUCCAUGGGCCAAGCUGUUCAAAAACCUGCAAUAAUGGAGCAUAGAGCAGAGAGAGGAAAUGAUACCUACUAGAUACAAAAUUCUUGUGGCCGACUGUAUACAGUGUGGGACUCUCAGACCUGCAACUAGCAGGCUUGUCUUAUCAACUACCAACUUGGAGACAUUGAUCCUUGGUCAGAAUGUGACCCGUGUGUUAAAAAAAAGCAGCACGACUGCGGAAGGUGGGGAACACAAAUACCUUGGCCCUGAUCCUGCAAACUGAUCUGCAUGAGCGAACUCCCACACAUCCCCAUUGAGAUUAUUGAGGCAUGGCA
Mauremys reevesii (Reeves's turtle) is the source of this 2205-nucleotide long non-coding RNA. RefSeq lists it as uncharacterized. Lineage: Eukaryota; Metazoa; Chordata; Testudines; Geoemydidae. The record is from RefSeq and is a predicted model, not a curated record. The transcript has 4 exons.